UACAGGGGGUGCAAACGUUGCUCGGAAUUAUUGGGCGUAAAGCGCACGUAGGCGGUUUGUUGUGUCGGAUGUGAAAGCCCUUGGCUCAACUGAGGAAGUGCAUCCGAAACUGGCAAGCUAGAGUAUGUAAGAGGGUCGCGGAAUUCCCGGUGUAGAGGUGAAAUUCGUAGAUAUCGGGAGGAACACCGGUGGCGAAGGCGGCGACCUGGGACAAUACUGACGCUGAGGUGCGAAAGCGUGGGGAGCAAACAGG
RNAcentral lists this ribosomal RNA (253 nucleotides) under uncultured bacterium. RNAcentral describes it as "partial 16S ribosomal RNA". It matches the Rfam family "Bacterial small subunit ribosomal RNA", at positions 524 to 776 of the family's 1533-position model. The record is from RNAcentral.